This 77-nucleotide non-coding RNA is filed under the name Sedimentitalea nanhaiensis. The record is from RNAcentral. Lineage: Bacteria; Pseudomonadati; Pseudomonadota; Alphaproteobacteria; Rhodobacterales; Paracoccaceae.
GGGUUGAUCCGUGGCGAUUUAUACCAAAUUGCGGGCCACGCUAAACGAAACCGCUAAAAGGUCAGGAUGAAGGGCUC